GUGUCAGCAGCCGCGGUAAUACGAAGGGGGCUAGCGUUGUUCGGAAUUACUGGGCGUAAAGCGCACGUAGGCGGGUUUGUAAGUAGAGGGUGAAAUCCCCGGGCUCAACCCGGGAACUGCCUUCUAAACUGCAAGCCUGGAGGUCAGGAGAGGCGAGUGGAAUACCGAGUGUAGAGGUGAAAUUCGUAGAUAUUCGGUGGAACACCAGUGGCGAAGGCGACUCGCUGGACUGAUACUGACGCUGAGGUGCGAAAGCGUGGGGAGCAAACAGGAUUAGAAACCCGCGUAGUCC
This 292-nucleotide ribosomal RNA is filed under the name uncultured bacterium. RNAcentral describes it as "partial 16S ribosomal RNA". It matches the Rfam family "Bacterial small subunit ribosomal RNA", at positions 505 to 796 of the family's 1533-position model. The record is from RNAcentral.